This is a long non-coding RNA of Cyprinus carpio (common carp), 700 nucleotides long. RefSeq lists it as uncharacterized. The record is from RefSeq and is a predicted model, not a curated record. The transcript has 2 exons. Lineage: Eukaryota; Metazoa; Chordata; Actinopteri; Cypriniformes; Cyprinidae.
AAUUUCAGUUAAUUUCUGUGGACAGUGAAAUUAGCAGCUGUCAAUCACGUGUUUCUGAGACCAGAGCGCCCUCUAUCGGACUCACCUACAAUCACAGCAUGUGAACCGUGUAGAAAUAAUAUUUCAUUUUCCUCAGUAUUGAAGCGUUAACCUUGAUCGUUAAUUUGGAAACUGCAUACAGUAUUAUAACAAACACGAUAUGUCGCUUAUAUAGUAAACAAAUUCUGUCUAGCUUUCUGUAUUUACAUAAUUAAUAAUGUAUUUCAUAAUGUUAUGCGUCCAGGCGUGCUGAAUUAUGGCAGCCUGCAGGAUGGGAGCAGAAGAAGAGAGAUGCACAGGACCUGGGUGAGACACGAGUGUGCUGCAGUGUGUCUGUCUGGUUUACAUGCACCUGUGUGUCUUUGGCUCUGCAGGUCAGCUGGCCUCUCUGAUGGACAGAACGUGUGAGAGGAAGUUCAUCACCAGGACGGUGAGCAUCUGGGAGGCAGAACACCAGCAGCUCAUUCAGAGAGAAAGAGAAGAACCAGAAGAGCGUCUGAGCAAACAGUGAGCGCCGUCCUCCAGACACAGAGUUGUUUGUCUUGUUUAUUGUCUUUGGUUGGGUCGAUUGAGAGAGAGGUUUGUGUGUUAAUAUUAUUUGGAUUCUUUUUCAACGCCCUGUAAAUCUGAACAGUAUAAAUAAACAAUGAACAUACUCUUA